This 504-nucleotide ribosomal RNA is filed under the name Triticum aestivum (bread wheat). Its description in RNAcentral is "partial small subunit ribosomal RNA". Lineage: Eukaryota; Viridiplantae; Streptophyta; Magnoliopsida; Poales; Poaceae. The record is from RNAcentral.
AUGGCGGAUCUGGGCCCCAUGGUUGGCGAGAAAGUAGUCGGAGAUGCGGUGCCACGCCAUGUAGGCGGUGACAGCGCCAUCAGUGAUGAGCUCGAGGAGAGGAUCGGCGAGGGUGAAGAGGAUCCAGAGUGCCAUGCGGUGGUCGAUGGCGAGCCAAGGGGCAUCGGCAUUAGCAGGUGGGGGGCGAUCGACGUGAUCCUCGACGCGGUAUUGGCUAAGAACGAUGCGGAAGAAAGUGCGGCACUUAGAGAAAUUCUUCCCCGCCGAAUCCAGCUUGAAUUUGAUGUAGCUGGAGAUGUGGUCGUUGUUGUUGGUGAGUGGAGGCUGGGAGGAGGAGGGAGCGGCGUUGAGGGGAAAGUUAGUGGCGGCGGUGGUGGAGAGAGGGGCCAGGGUGGUGGAGGGGAGGGGAGAUGUCCCAGAGUGAACCGACGAGGAGGAGGAGGAGGAGUGGGUGGCCGGGGAGGGAGGUUCGCCGAAAAGGUCAUCAAAGGCCAUGGCGACUAA